UACGGAGGGUGCAAGCGUUAUCCGGAUUCACUGGGCUUAAAGGGUGCGUAGGUGGGUUGGUAAGUCAGUGGUGAAAUCUCCAGGCUUAACUUGGAAACUGCCAUUGAUACUAUCAGUCUUGAAUACCGUUGAGGUGGGCGGAAUAUGUCAUGUAGCGGUGAAAUGCAUAGAUAUGACAUAGAACACCAAUUGCGAAGGCAGCUCACUAAACGGUCAUUGACGCUGAGGCACGAAAGCGUGGGGAUCAAACAGG
Molecule: ribosomal RNA, 253 nt
Filed under: uncultured bacterium
Lineage: Bacteria
Description: partial 16S ribosomal RNA
Rfam family: Bacterial small subunit ribosomal RNA
Source: RNAcentral